This 253-nucleotide ribosomal RNA is filed under the name uncultured bacterium. RNAcentral's name for it is "partial 16S ribosomal RNA". It matches the Rfam family "Bacterial small subunit ribosomal RNA", at positions 524 to 776 of the family's 1533-position model. The record is from RNAcentral.
UACGGAGGGUGCUAGCGUUGUUCGGAAUCACUGGGCGUAAAGCGCGUGUAGGCGGCCUGUUAAGUCUGAUGUGAAAGCCCGGGGCUCACCCCCGGAAGUGCAUUGGAAACUGCCAGGCUCGAGUCCCGGAGAGGAGGGUGGAAUUCCUGGUGUAGCGGUGAAAUGCGUAGAUAUCAGGAGGAACACCGGUGGCGAAGGCGGCCCUCUGGACGGUGACUGACGCUGAGACGCGAAAGCGUGGGGAGCAAACAGG